This 207-nucleotide ribosomal RNA is filed under the name uncultured bacterium. RNAcentral's name for it is "partial 16S ribosomal RNA". It matches the Rfam family "Bacterial small subunit ribosomal RNA", at positions 568 to 774 of the family's 1533-position model. The record is from RNAcentral.
CGCGUAGGCGGCUUUUCAAGCGUGCGGUGAAAGCUCGGGGCUUAACUCCGAGUCUGCCGUGCGAACUGGGAGGCUUGAGUCUGGUAGAGGUCGAUGGAAUUCCGGGUGUAGCGGUGGAAUGCGUAGAGAUCCGGAAGAACACCGGUGGCGAGGGCGGUCGACUGGGCCAGUACUGACGCUGAGGCGCGACAGCGUGGGGAGCAAACA